This 116-nucleotide ribosomal RNA is filed under the name Diaphorina citri (Asian citrus psyllid). The record is from RNAcentral. Lineage: Eukaryota; Metazoa; Arthropoda; Insecta; Hemiptera; Psyllidae.
ACCAGCGGCGAUAGCUCGUUGAACGCACCAGUUCCCAACGGAUCACUAAUGUUGAGCAACGUUGCGCUUGAUUAGUAUCCAGAUGGGUGACCCUCCGAGCUUUAUUGAUUUUUUUA